RNAcentral lists this ribosomal RNA (702 nucleotides) under Citrobacter freundii. Its description in RNAcentral is "partial 23S ribosomal RNA". It matches the Rfam family "Bacterial large subunit ribosomal RNA", at positions 144 to 888 of the family's 2925-position model. RNAcentral also lists the same sequence under 1 other name. The record is from RNAcentral. Lineage: Bacteria; Pseudomonadati; Pseudomonadota; Gammaproteobacteria; Enterobacterales; Enterobacteriaceae.
CACACUAUCAUUACGUGAAUACAUAGCGUAAUGAAGCGAACCGGGGGAACUGAAACAUCUAAGUACCCCGAGGAAAAGAAAUCAACCGAGAUUCCCCCAGUAGCGGCGAGCGAACGGGGAGCAGCCCAGAGUCUGAAUCAGCUUGUGUGUUAGUGGAACGGUCUGGAAAGUCCGACGGUACAGGGUGAUAGUCCCGUACACCAAAAUGCACAGGUUGUGAACUCGAAGAGUAGGGCGGGACACGUGGUAUCCUGUCUGAAUAUGGGGGGACCAUCCUCCAAGGCUAAAUACUCCUGACUGACCGAUAGUGAACCAGUACCGUGAGGGAAAGGCGAAAAGAACCCCGGCGAGGGGAGUGAAAAAGAACCUGAAACCGUGUACGUACAAGCAGUGGGAGCCUCUUUAUGGGGUGACUGCGUACCUUUUGUAUAAUGGGUCAGCGACUUAUAUUCUGUAGCAAGGUUAACCGUAUAGGGGAGCCGAAGGGAAACCGAGUCUUAACUGGGCGUUAAGUUGCAGGGUAUAGACCCGAAACCCGGUGAUCUAGCCAUGGGCAGGUUGAAGGUUGGGUAACACUAACUGGAGGACCGAACCGACUAAUGUUGAAAAAUUAGCGGAUGACUUGUGGCUGGGGGUGAAAGGCCAAUCAAACCGGGAGAUAGCUGGUUCUCCCCGAAAGCUAUUUAGGUAGCGCCUCGUGAA